AAAUUGAAGAGUUUGAUCAUGGCUCAGAUUGAACGCUGGCGGCAGGCCUAACACAUGCAAGUCGAACGGUAACAGGAAGCAGCUUGCUGCUUUGCUGACGAGUGGCGGACGGGUGAGUAAUGUCUGGGUAACUGCCUGAUGGAGGGGGAUAACUACUGGAAACGGUGGCUAAUACCGCAUAACGUCGCAAGA
RNAcentral lists this ribosomal RNA (192 nucleotides) under Salmonella enterica subsp. enterica serovar Enteritidis. RNAcentral's name for it is "partial 16S ribosomal RNA". It matches the Rfam family "Bacterial small subunit ribosomal RNA", at positions 1 to 186 of the family's 1533-position model. The record is from RNAcentral. Lineage: Bacteria; Pseudomonadati; Pseudomonadota; Gammaproteobacteria; Enterobacterales; Enterobacteriaceae.